CAAAUCAUACCAACAUGGCGGCGACAUCACGCUGUAAACGUUUUACAUUUCUAAAGCAUUAGACUUAAAGCUGCAAAUAAAAGAGAUGCCUGCAAGAUCUGUAAACUGCAACUUGCUUUUCUUUGCAGCAGGUCAGCGUUUGCAGAGGAAGCAUGGUGACAUUCAUCUUAAAGGCCCAAAACCAGAGUCCCACUGUCAGAAAGGAUGUGACGCCUGUCCCGUGGCUCUACCAGCCAGGCCCAUGUCUGUGAAUGCCUUAGCUGGACCACCACAAUAUAUCAGCACCUGUGGAAACAGUCUUCUGGCUUCAAAGCUCAUGAUGCUCUGUGAACACCGUUGUCCGAUGCCCUUCAGCCGAACCACCACACAGCCCCGCUCUCCUUCUCUCUGGAGCUGCCAGAGGGGAUAGCAUGACUUGUUUCAUAACCAGCAAUCCAUAAACAUGCAGGAGAUUAUACGGGCACAGACCAACAUCAGCUCGCCAUUCAACAAUAACCAACAAGCUCCCAGAGCUUCCCUCACUGACCCGUGUGAGUUUUUGUUCGUCAUCUGGCUGGGACAACGACAAACCAGCAGUCAUCUAAAUUCAUGCAAGCAUUGAUGCAAUAAGGCUUGCAAUGUCAGACUGUCAUACAUUUAGGUCCAGAUGGAAAUAUUUUAGCAUCUAUGAGAUAGAGUAUGAUCAAAUAUGAUACACACAUUCAUGAUCCCCAGAGGAUGAGGCAUACUGACCCUCAUGAUUCCCUCACUUAACCUCUGCUGAAAACAGUGGUUUAACAUUUUUAACUUUCGUGGAAUUUCUUUACAAUAAUGGUACAAAUUGCAUAAUUCUAGGUCUGGAUUUGGCCUGGUGGAACAGUAGGAUUUAUCUGGGUGAUGAGGAGAUUCAUUUAUCUUCAUUUAAAUCAGGUAAUCCAGCUAUUCGUCCUGUUUUUUUUGUAGAAAAAUAAAUUUGACUGACAUGAUCCAAAUACAAGGAUAAGAGAUGACCAAAUCUGGAUUACUCUUAAUGGGAUCAAAUAGGAUAUACUGUGUCCACAUGGGAUGCAAAAAUCUGCACAAACUGAAAGAUCCCAAUAAUUACUUUCAAUUAAAUUACAAUUAUUUGAUGUUAAAGGUAUUUAAUGUGUGAAAUCUUUUAUUCUUUAAAAACUCUAGGGUCACGUUUACCUACUGGGUCAUAUAACGAUUUAAGAGCAAAAUUUUGAGGGAGAAAAAAGUCUCUUGAGUCAAUACCAUUGCAAAAAAGUUGAUUUGUUUGUUAAACUAGAAAGUCUUUAAAGUUAGUUGAGUAAAUGUUAUCCUAAUCCUAUGCCAAAGUUUUGGACAUCCCAACUAUGGAUCACUUUAUUUUAUAAGAUUUUCAUACCUUUUAGCAAUGUUGAACUGCUUGAUUUCACGAUUAAUCCCAUCAAAUAGUUUUAAUCCAUUCAGAUGUCUGUUGACAGACUGGGCCCAGUGGAUAGCUCAGACUGACUUUGGUUGAUUUUAGGCCCACAAUAAAGAGAAAGAUUGAAGUCAAGUGAAUAAAAGAGGAGAUUUAGGUUUGGUUACAAAAAGCUAUUGGUUGAAAUGAAAGGAGUAUUGUUUAGAGCUCAAUUAGAGUCAAUUUAAUGGACAUUUCUUAUAAAAAAAAAAUCAACUGUCUGUGUUUGUGUAAGGACAUCGCACAUUUUCUUUUAUUGGAUUAUAUACAGAAAUGUGUGAUUUUAAGAACAACAUAUCAUUCCUACAUUUGGUAUGAGAAGACAAGGGAAAGAUUUUUAUGGACAAAAUCAGAAGAGAAGAAACUGCAACUGCAUGUUAAAUAUUUCUGUAACCAAUU
Notolabrus celidotus (New Zealand spotty) is the source of this 1825-nucleotide long non-coding RNA. RefSeq lists it as uncharacterized. The record is from RefSeq and is a predicted model, not a curated record. The transcript is spliced from 5 exons. Lineage: Eukaryota; Metazoa; Chordata; Actinopteri; Labriformes; Labridae.